Jatropha curcas is the source of this 186-nucleotide non-coding RNA. The record is from RefSeq and is a predicted model, not a curated record. Lineage: Eukaryota; Viridiplantae; Streptophyta; Magnoliopsida; Malpighiales; Euphorbiaceae.
GAUCGCCCGGGUCCGUCUAGUGCUCCUUCCGACCAAAAUCAAAGUUAGGGAUUCGUUCUCCACUACUGUACUAGGAAGCAGCUGAUUCGGCUGAAGCUCUGCAAUCUUCUCUGCAGAGUUACAAAUGUAAACUUUAUAUUCAUGUUAUUUAAUUUUGGAUGUAUAAAUUAUUCUGUUAUCAGAUUA